CCCUUAGAUGUUCUAGGCCGCACGCGCGCUACACUGACGAAGUCAGCGAGCAUCUCCUACGCCGAAAGGUGCGGGGAAUCUUGUGAAACUUUGUCGUGCUGGGGAUUGAUUUUUGAAAUUCUUGAUCAUCAACGAGGAAUUCCUAGUAAGCGCAAGUCAGCAGCUUGCGUUGAUUACGUCCCUGCCCUUUGUACACACCGCCCGUCGCUACUACCGAUUGAAUGGUUUAGUGAGAUUUUUGGACUGGAACUCUCUUGUUCAGCAAUGAACGAGAGGGACUCUGGGAAGCUAUUCUAACUGUAUCAUUUAGAGGAAGUAAAAGUCGUAACA
RNAcentral lists this ribosomal RNA (330 nucleotides) under uncultured eukaryote. RNAcentral describes it as "partial 18S ribosomal RNA". It matches the Rfam family "Eukaryotic small subunit ribosomal RNA", at positions 1470 to 1796 of the family's 1831-position model. The record is from RNAcentral.